UAGGGAAUCUUCGGCAAUGGGGGGAACCCUGACCGAGCAACGCCGCGUGAGUGAAGAAGGUUUUCGGAUCGUAAAGCUCUGUUGUUAAGGAAGAACGAGUGUGAGAAUGGAAAGUUCAUGCUGUGACGGUACUUAACCAGAAAGGGACGGCUAACUACGUGCCAGCAGCCGCGGUAAUACGUAGGUCCCGAGCGUUGUCCGGAUUUAUUGGGCGUAAAGCGAGCGCAGGCGGUUAGAAAAGUCUGAAGUGAAAGGCAGUGGCUCAACCAUUGUAGGCUUUGGAAACUGUUUAACUUGAGUGCAGAAGGGGAGAGUGGAAUUCCAUGUGUAGCGGUGAAAUGCUUAGAUAUAUGGAGGAACACCAGUGGCGAAGGCGACUCUCUGGUCUGUAACUGACGCUGAGGCUCGAAAGCGUGGGUAGCAAACAGG
RNAcentral lists this ribosomal RNA (429 nucleotides) under Bacteroidota bacterium. RNAcentral describes it as "Bacteroidetes bacterium partial 16S ribosomal RNA". It matches the Rfam family "Bacterial small subunit ribosomal RNA", at positions 355 to 776 of the family's 1533-position model. Lineage: Bacteria; Pseudomonadati; Bacteroidota. The record is from RNAcentral.